UGAGUCUUCUUUCUCUAAUGACAUCACUUGUUAGGUCAUAAUAAUCAGGUAACACUAUGAGCGUGGAUACUUUCCCUCUGUUUAGAACCCCAGAAGGCUUAUGUCAAACCAAAUUAGAUUAUAGGUUAUGGGCUGGUUCAGAACUUGGCAAUUUAUUCAUUCUAACAGAACAACUUAUGAGGUGCCCUAAUGUGAGUUUGCAAAAACUGCCAGAACAGUGGUUAUGGAAUGUUUUGGAGGAAAUCAAAAGCAGCGAUCCUUCAUCUAAACUCUGUGCUACAAGGCACAGUGCUGGAAUUCCCUUCUACAUACAGGCAUUGUUGGCAUCUUAACCGAAGAAAGGCAAAAUGGAUUUGUUGAAAAUAACAAUGAAAGAAUUAAUUUCCAUGGCUGGGCCUGCUUGUGACUCACAAAACACAGUUCCUCAGGACUGUCCAGCAGAGAGAAGAUGCCCAGGAACCACCCGUCAGAUUCUCUACCCAGUCAAGGACAUUAAUCAACAUGACCAAUAUGAUCAUCUCAGAGCAAAAGAUAGAAAAAUCCCAGCAGAAAACCAAACGAGAAAAACGGAAGGACUCGUCAACUCCCCACAAGUUUGGCUUAGGUUGACCUCAGCAAGAUUUCCCUCGGAGUUGAAACUCUUAGAAUUCUGCAGAAGUAUCUGGAGCAGUGCUGAGACAAGACCAAUCUGUUCCUCAUUUGUCUAAGUACCUCUUUUUCCUGUUUUUCUUCUCCUCUGUCCCUUGUUUAUUCUUUUUCCCACCUGUUUUCACCCACUCUUCAUUUCCCCCUCUCUCCUCCUUGGUGGAUUUCCCAAUUAUGUUACCUUCCCUCUGUGGAUGUGGAGUUCCUCAGGAAAUCUUCCUCCCUGGUUAAGAACUGAAGCGCUGGUGCUAAGUAAGGCCCCAGUGGGACCCAGGAACACUCUCCAGGAGGAGUGCUCUCCGCUCCAGAUCACUUGGGCUAGACUGAAUGCCCCGUAUCUGUAAUCACAUGUAUCCAGCCUUGAACUUGCUGAUGUAUUAUGAUUAACUGGUUCUAUUUCUUUAUCACCAGACUCUCUUCCCCGAGGAGAGGAACUGUGCCAGGACCUAACAGAGUUUACGGUACAGAACAGGCACACUGCUUAUGAGUUUGACUAAUGAAUAAAUGAAUAUUUUCAGGGGGA
Ictidomys tridecemlineatus (thirteen-lined ground squirrel) is the source of this 1168-nucleotide non-coding RNA. Lineage: Eukaryota; Metazoa; Chordata; Mammalia; Rodentia; Sciuridae. The record is from RefSeq and is a predicted model, not a curated record.